GCCUGUGAAGGUGUGCUGUGAGGCAUGCUGGAGGUAUCAGAAGUGCGAAUGCUGACAUAAGUAACGAUAAAGCGGGUGAAAAGCCCGCUCGCCGGAAGACCAAGGGUUCCUGUCCAACGUUAAUCGGGGCAGGGUGAGUCGACCCCUAAGGCGAGGCCGAAAGGCGUAGUCGAUGGGAAACAGGUUAAUAUUCCUGUACUUGGUGUUACUGCGAAGGGGGGACGGAGAAGGCUAUGUUGGCCGGGCGACGGUUGUCCCGGUUUAAGCGUGUAGGCUGGUUUUCCAGGCAAAUCCGGAAAAUCAAGGCUGAGGCGUGAUGACGAGGCACUACGGUGCUGAAGCAACAAAUGCCCUGCUUCCAGGAAAAGCCUCUAAGCAUCAGGUAACAUCAAAUCGUACCCCAAACCGACACAGGUGGUCAGGUAGAGAAUACCAAGGCGCUUGAGAGAACUCGGGUGAAGGAACUAGGCAAAAUGGUGCCGUAACUUCGGGAGAAGGCACGCUGAUAUGUAGGUGAAGUCCCUCGCGGAUGGAGCUGAAAUCAGUCGAAGAUACCAGCUGGCUGCAACUGUUUAUUAAAAACACAGCACUGUGCAAACACGAAAGUGGACGUAUACGGUGUGACGCCUGCCCGGUGCCGGAAGGUUAAUUGAUGGGGUCAGCGCAAGCGAAGCUCUUGAUCGAAGCCCCGGUAAACGGCGGCCGUAACUAUAACGGUCCUAAGGUAGCGAAAUUCCUUGUCGGGUAAGUUCCGACCUGCACGAAUGGCGUAAUGAUGGCCAGGCUGUCUCCACCCGAGACUCAGUGAAAUUGAACUCGCUGUGAAGAUGCAGUGUACCCGCGGCAAGACGGAAAGACCCCGUGAACCUUUACUAUAGCUUGACACUGAACAUUGAGCCUUGAUGUGUAGGAUAGGUGGGAGGCUUUGAAGUGUGGACGCCAGUCUGCAUGGAGCCGACCUUGAAAUACCACCCUUUAAUGUUUGAUGUUCUAACGUGGACCCGUGAUCCGGGUUGCGGACAGUGUCUGGUGGGUAGUUUGACUGGGGCGGUCUCCUCCUAAAGAGUAACGGAGGAGCACGAAGGUUGGCUAAUCCUGGUCGGACAUCAGGAGGUUAGUGCAAUGGCAUAAGCCAGCUUGACUGCGAGCGUGACGGCGCGAGCAGGUGCGAAAGCAGGUCAUAGUGAUCCGGUGGUUCUGAAUGGAAGGGCCAUCGCUCAACGGAUAAAAGGUACUCCGGGGAUAACAGGCUGAUACCGCCCAAGAGUUCAUAUCGACGGCGGUGUUUGGCACCUCGAUGUCGGCUCAUCACAUCCUGGGGCUGAAGUAGGUCCCAAGGGUAUGGCUGUUCGCCAUUUAAAGUGGUACGCGAGCUGGGUUUAGAACGUCGUGAGACAGUUCGGUCCCUAUCUGCCGUGGGCGCUGGAGAACUGAGGGGGGCUGCUCCUAGUACGAGAGGACCGGAGUGGACGCAUCACUGGUGUUCGGGUUGUCAUGCCAAUGGCACUGCCCGGUAGCUAAAUGCGGAAGAGAUAAGUGCUGAAAGCAUCUAAGCACGAAACUUGCCCCGAGAUGAGUUCUCCCUGACCCUUUAAGGGUCCUGAAGGAACGUUGAAGACGACGACGUUGAUAGGCCGGGUGUGUAAGCGCAGCGAUGCGUUGAGCUAACCGGUACUAAUGAACCGUGAGGCUUAACCUU
This 1699-nucleotide ribosomal RNA is filed under the name Escherichia coli. RNAcentral describes it as "partial 23S ribosomal RNA". It matches the Rfam family "Bacterial large subunit ribosomal RNA", at positions 1246 to 2925 of the family's 2925-position model. Lineage: Bacteria; Pseudomonadati; Pseudomonadota; Gammaproteobacteria; Enterobacterales; Enterobacteriaceae. The record is from RNAcentral.